Molecule: ribosomal RNA, 507 nt
Filed under: uncultured bacterium
Lineage: Bacteria
Description: partial 16S ribosomal RNA
Rfam family: Bacterial small subunit ribosomal RNA
Source: RNAcentral
AUUGAACGCUGGCGGCAUGCCUUACACAUGCAAGUCGAACGGCAGCGGGGGAGAAGCUUGCUUUUCCUGCCGGCGAGUGGCGAACGGGUGAGUAAUACACCGGAACGUGCCCUGUAGUGGGGGAUAACUAGUCGAAAGAUUAGCUAAUACCGCAUACGACCUGAGGGUGAAAGUGGGGGACCGCAAGGCCUCAUGCUAUAGGAGCGGCCGAUGUCUGAUUAGCUAGUUGGUGGGGUAAAGGCCUACCAAGGCGACGAUCAGUAGCUGGUCUGGGAGGACGAUCAGCCACACUGGGACUGAGACACGGCCCAGACUCCUACGGGAGGCAGCAGUGGGAAUUUUGGACAAUGGGCGAAAGCCUGAUCCAGCAAUGCCGCGUGUGUGAAGAAGGCCUUCGGGUUGUAAAGCACUUUUGUCCGGAAAGAAAUGGCUCUGGUUAAUACCUGGGGUCGAUGACGGUACCGGAAGAAUAAGGACCGGCUAACUACGUGCCAGCCGCCGCAGUAA